This is a non-coding RNA of Triticum aestivum (bread wheat), 125 nucleotides long. NCBI's taxonomy places the organism in Eukaryota, Viridiplantae, Streptophyta, Magnoliopsida, Poales, Poaceae. The record is from Rfam.
AAUCUACUCCCUCCGUCCGGAAAUACUUGUUGGAGGAAUAGAUAUAUUUAUUCGUAUUUUAGUUUUAGAUGCUUCCAUUUUUAUCUAUUUCUGCGACAAGUAUUUUCGGACGGAGGGAGUACAUG